AACCAAUUCAAGAGUUGAAGACCAGUUGAUCGAUUGACGUGCAUGUGCUUGUAAUACGACCUAACUAGAAUCCAUGAUCAUCACCUAUUUAAAGUUUAGCUUUAAUUAUUGCUGCGAUUAUAACUGCUUGCAAUGUGCCGUUUGCAUGUGAUGUGAAUGUGAGUCGGGUAGAUAGGUUUACAUGUGAUGUAGCAAACCCAAUUGAGACCUAAAUCAAAAC
Molecule: long non-coding RNA, 220 nt
Filed under: Phoenix dactylifera (date palm)
Lineage: Eukaryota; Viridiplantae; Streptophyta; Magnoliopsida; Arecales; Arecaceae
Description: long non-coding RNA (PDAC_LNC012847)
Source: RNAcentral